CACAAAACAAAUAGGUAAAAAAAUAAGUAUUCUGUAUACAUUAGUCUAUUUGGGCUGAUACAACAAGCUAUCAUAAACUGGGUGGCUUAAGACACAUUUAUUUCUCAACAUUUUGGAGGCUUAGAAAUCCAAGAUCAAGGCUCCAGCUGAUUUGGUAUCCAAGAGGGCCCAUUUCAUAGACAGCGCCUCCUAGCUGUGUCCUCACAUGGUGAAAGAGAGAAAACACUCUUCUCUUCAGUACCUUCCAAGGUCACUAAUCCCAUUCAUGAGAGCCCCACCCUUGUGAUCUACUCACCCUCCCCACGUUCCCACAGUGAAGAUUAAAUUUCAACUUGUGAAUUCGGGGGGGGACGGACCCAAAAUCCAGUCUUUAGCAACUAAUAAGUGCUUACUUGUAAAUUUGGGCCUAAUGGCAUGGAUUAUGGAGAUGGAAUACAGUCUUGCCAGCCAAAAACACUAGGAGAUUAGGACAAUUGAAAUCUUUACUUGGAUAUAGAUUAUCCAAUAUUCUGUAGAAAAGAGCACCUCUCUAGGGAAAUUCAUUCAUUCAUUCAUUCUUCAGUUAGUGAAUCCUUACCAGACACGUGCACUGUGCUGGGAGACUUAAGGGACACAGACAUGAAUGUCAUGGUUCUUGUCUUCAAGGAAGUUCUAUCUCAGAAAGGGUGGUUAUGUAAGCUCUUUGCAGGACCUGAGUGAAGAGAGGUACAAUUCAUGGAAGUCUCUGAGAAGGUGGGGCUACCUUCUGCCUGGGAGAUUGGGGAAAUCUUUUGAAGAGCAGCAGCAUUUGAUCUGGGCCCUAAAGGCCAGCUAGGACUUGAAUGGGUCACACGUAGGGGAAAAGGGGGACAGUGCCUCAUGGAGUGAUUCUGUAACAAUGAGAAAUGAGAACUGAUAAAGAAGUUCUUCCUUUUCAGGCCCAGACAACACUGACACGAAUGGCUUUCCAGGUGGCCCUGGGCAUCACAGAACUCAAACAAUUAAGGAGAUUGUUGGAGCAAAGAUUUGGAGGCAGAAGAGGGCCAGGUCUAGUCGCUUUUUAGAAAGUCAAUGAAUCAUGAUCAGGACAAAGGACAGAGAGAAUUUUUUCUAGUUGGUGUGUAGUUUCUCAAGGAUACAAGAAAAGUAAAAUAUGGACCUUGAUUCAGUCAUGAUUCUGCUAAGCUUUUGCAUAUUAUUUAAACUUUAUGGGAUCCAUUUGUCUUGUCUAUAGAGUGGAGAUGAUAAUAUUUUGCUGAAAAGCCAAGGUGAAGACCCAGGGAAUAAUAUAUUCAGACUGAUCCCUGGAUGAGGGAGGGAAAGGCUGGCCAGCCACAUACCAAGUUCCUCAAGUUUAUGGCGCGAUUUCACUAACACAACGGCCUGGUAUACUCAACCUUUGUUCCGACACCUUCCUCCACUCCAGAGACCGGAGAGUUGCAACGCUCAAUUGAACCAGAGUGUCUUGCAGCUGGGGUCCCACAUUUGAUUUAAGUAUCAUUAAUCACUUCUACUUGCUUUGGAACUGACUUCUUGGAGAGAAGACCAUGAGGAAGGAAUGGGAACUAAGAUAAGUGGGGAGAGAGAGAACGGUCCUGGCCUCUCUUUUCCGGUAGGGGUCUCAGCAACAGAAACAGGUCUCGGAAGUAGCCACAAUCGAGGCGGCUUUCUGAUUGAGUUGCCUCCUGGUGGUGACAGAUGUGGCAUGAGCCUCACGCUGAGAACCCUGGCAGGAGAAUCCAGCCUCUCAUUCAGCACAUUUCUGAUUGCUCAAGAGGCAGCAGCUCCCGCGAUGGCCUCAUUCUGUGGUGACUUUCAGAGUUCAUAAGUCCAUUUCUUGAGGCCUCCCAAUGACUCAUGAGGACCGUACCACUAUUUUACAUGCCUAGUUGUUUAAAAUCAGCUAGUGUGGGCUCUGUUGUCUGCAAUGAAGGGCCUUAAAUGACAUAUCAGUGACCAGUUCUGGCCAAUAAAAGGACUCUGCCGAGUAGGACACUGUGUUGAAGGCAGACCGUGAAGAGGCAGUAGAUGGCAAAAGCGAGCAGGCUCCUUACAGCACAUGCAAAUCACACCCAGUGUGUGAAGUAGAAGCGAAACCAAUACCCACCUCCCCAGGGCCCCUUGCAUGAAUGGCUGGUAAGUCUGCACUGAAGCAGUUUAGCAACUGCUUUGUGUGUAAUUUGUGUUCUAGUUCCCUAAAAUCAAUCAUCUCAAGGCCUCAGAUUCCGUCUCCCAUACCCAUGCUGAUGGAUUCUCAUCCAAAAUCUGCCCUACUAUCCCCUCACUGCCUCCAAAUCACUAUCAGAAUAUUUUUCUAUUCCUCACCUACUUUCUCAGUCCAUCUGUUGGAAUCUUCUAUUGCUGUUUCUUCUACCCUGGGCCCUUUGGGAGCCAUCGCAGGAUUUCCCUGUCCUUUCCUUCCCCUUCUUGGGUGACAGCAGGCUUAGUUUUCUCAACUCACUACAGGAUGCAACAUUCAUGUCCUCACCUAGUGGCCUGGGUCUGCUUAGGCCUCUCCCUCAGCACAGGUCUCUGGACUUCACCUUCCUUCCUUAUCCCUGCUCUACUCUGUUCUCAUGGAAACUUCUAGAAACUAGUGCCUCCGCUUUUCCCUUUUCUGUCCUAUCCACCCUUGACUCUGUGCCAGCCUCACCUUUCCAGAUGACUCAACCUGGCCUCUUUGCUCAGUGCUUCAUUCCAGGUUUCCCUGGGUCACCUCUAGCAUCUGCUUUCUCCAAACCACACUUACGGCACAGGCCCUUGUGGAGAAAGUAUAAAGAACUAAAAGUUUCUACUGUUCAGCUUCAUAUGAGCUCCUACCUCUAUCCCACUUUUUUCAGUGAGCACUUUCUCAGUGGCUUUGAUGACUUCUCUACUUGAAUCAAACCCUUGGUCCUCUCACAGCAUUGCCAUUCUUUGAAGAAGGCCUUGCAUCUGAGAGAGGCCAGAAACCUUUCCUGGACCUUCUCACCAUCCUGCUCACCCCAACAUGCUUCUCCUUCAACAACAGGCAUCUCAGAUCAAGCGUAUGACAGUGAAGUUUGUCAACUUGAUUGUUCUGGGAGAUUCCUAGGGGAUUUGUAGUGAAGCACACUCUUGGAAGUGGCUGGGUGGGUCACGAAGGCAAGACCUUUGAGUCUAUAUCCCUGGCCUCUUCCUUUCUGGUGAUGUUCCCUGUUCUGCUUCCUGAUUGCCAUGAACUGAGCAGUUUCCCUUCACUAUGUCUUUCCACCCCAUGAUGUUCCUACUUUGGAUCCAGCAGACCAUGGACUGAAUCUCCCGAAACUGUGAGCCAAAUAAAUCUCUCCUCCUUUGAAUUGCAGGUAAGUAUUUUGUACCCACAGUGAGAACUGAUUAACACAGAAUAUCUCUCAAUGCACCAUUUCUGACCCUUUCAGCCACACUAGCUGCCCCUGUGAUGAUUAGCUAUAUGAUGGGUCUGAGAAGCUGCACGUAGUAGCAACCUGCAAGUUCGUCAUGCCCCCUACCCUAAGGCUUCUCUGUGAUGAGAGACACCCCAUAUGCAUCCUUGAAAUCCUCACAAGUACAACCUGGAGGUAUUGGGAACUAUUAGAGUUUAGAUCUAAAAUGUUCCCCUAAGUCUCAUGUUUGGAGGUGAGGACUGGUCAGAGAGACUGGGUCACAGGAGGCGUGACCUGGAAGGAUGUAUUCUCAUCUCUGGCUCCUCUCUUCAGUCUCUGCUU
Long non-coding RNA from Fukomys damarensis (Damara mole-rat), 3683 nucleotides. RefSeq lists it as uncharacterized. The transcript has 3 exons. The record is from RefSeq and is a predicted model, not a curated record. Lineage: Eukaryota; Metazoa; Chordata; Mammalia; Rodentia; Bathyergidae.